UUGAACGCUGGCGGAAUGCUUUACACAUGCAAGUCGAGCGGCAGCGCGGGGGCAACCCUGGCGGCGAGCGGCGAACGGGUGAGUAACAUAUCGGAACGUACCCAGUAGUGGGGGAUAACUAUCCGAAAGGAUAGCUAAUACCGCAUACGCCCUGAGGGGGAAAGUGGGGGAUCGCAAGACCUCACGUUAUUGGAGCGGCCGAUAUCGGAUUAGCUAGUUGGUGGGGUAAAGGCUCACCAAGGCGACGAUCCGUAGCGGGUCUGAGAGGACGGCCCGCCACACUGGAACUGAGACACGGUCCAGACUCCUACGGGAGGCAGCAGUGGGGAAUUUUGGACAAUGGGCGAAAGCCUGAUCCAGCAAUGCCGCGUGCAGGAAGAAGGCCUUCGGGUUGUAAACUGCUUUUGUACGGAGCGAAAAGGCUCUCUCUAAUACAGGGGGCUCAUGACGGUACCGUAAGAAUAAGCACCGGCUAACUACGU
RNAcentral lists this ribosomal RNA (482 nucleotides) under uncultured bacterium. RNAcentral's name for it is "bacterial SSU rRNA". It matches the Rfam family "Bacterial small subunit ribosomal RNA", at positions 29 to 506 of the family's 1533-position model. The record is from RNAcentral.